Molecule: ribosomal RNA, 466 nt
Filed under: uncultured bacterium
Lineage: Bacteria
Description: partial 16S ribosomal RNA
Rfam family: Bacterial small subunit ribosomal RNA
Source: RNAcentral
GACGAACGCUGGCGGCGCGCCUAACACAUGCAAGUCGAACGAGCGAGAGAGAGCUUGCUUUCUUGAGCGAGUGGCGAACGGGUGAGUAACGCGUGAGGAACCUGCCUCAAAGAGGGGGACAACAGUUGGAAACGACUGCUAAUACCGCAUAAGCCCACGACCCGGCAUCGGGUUGAGGGAAAAGGAGCAAUCCGCUUUGAGAUGGCCUCGCGUCCGAUUAGCUAGUUGGUGAGGUAACGGCCCACCAAGGCGACGAUCGGUAGCCGGUCUGAGAGGUGGAACGGCCACAUUGGGACUGAGACACGGCCCAGACUGCUACGGGAGGCAGCAGUGGGGAAUAUUGCACAAUGGGGGAAACCCUGAUGCAGCGACGCCGCGUGGAGGAAGAAGGUAUUCGGAUUGUAAACUCCUGUUGUUGAGGAAGAUAAUGACGGUACUAAACAAGGAAGUGACGGCUAACUACGUG